AUGAAGAUCCUAUUUGCUGAAUAUGCAUCUGAAUAUGAAAACACUUCUGAUGAAGGUGAUGAGGUUGUAGAGGAGGAUGGUGAGCGCACUCUCGAUGACUGGAAUAAGCAUUUGAGAUUGAAAAGAUCCCACAACUCAAAUGAGCUACAACGAUAUCUUGAGGAAGACUUGUUUCCUCGCCAACAGAAAUUGGAUAUCUUAAAGUGGUGGGAGAUUCACUCCCCAAAGUAUCCAGUGCUUGCGGCUAUAGCACGGGACAUAUUGGCAAUGUCUGCGUCUACAGUGCCUGCAGAGGCUGCAUUUAGCAAUGCUGGACGGAUCAUCACUGCUCAAAGAAGUAGUUUGACCCCGAGUACUGUUGAGACGCUGAUGUGCCUCGAGGAUUGGUUUCGAGCAGCUGAUCACCAAAAGAUGGAACCAACAGUUGGAGACCAUGGUGGUGAGCAAGACGAUGCUGGAACCACCUAA
This 468-nucleotide ribosomal RNA is filed under the name Triticum aestivum (bread wheat). RNAcentral's name for it is "partial small subunit ribosomal RNA". Lineage: Eukaryota; Viridiplantae; Streptophyta; Magnoliopsida; Poales; Poaceae. The record is from RNAcentral.